This 468-nucleotide ribosomal RNA is filed under the name uncultured bacterium. Its description in RNAcentral is "partial 16S ribosomal RNA". It matches the Rfam family "Bacterial small subunit ribosomal RNA", at positions 28 to 507 of the family's 1533-position model. The record is from RNAcentral.
GAUGAACGCUGGCGGCGUGCUUAAUACAUGCAAGUCGAACGGAAAGGCCCUGCUCUUGCGGGUCUCUCGAUUGGCGAAGGGGUGUGAAAAACGCGUGUAACCCCUCCUUGUCUUUGGGAUAACACCAGGAAACUGCGGCUCUUAUCCGAUAGGAGCUCUUGCACCACGGGGGGGGUUGGAAAGUUUCGGCGGUUCGGGAUGGACUCGCGGCUUAUCAGCUUGUUGGUGUGGUAGUGGCUUACCAAGGCUUUGACGGGUAGCCGGCCUGAGAGGGUUACCGGCCACAAUGGGCCUGAGAGACGGCCCAGACGCCUACGGGAGGCAGCGGGGGGAAAUAUUGCACAGUAGGCGGAAGCCUGAUACGGCGGCGCCGCGUGCGGGAUGACGGCCUACGAGUUGUAAACAGCUUUCGAAUGUGACGAGGCGUGAGUGACGGUAAUGGGUAAGGAAGCACCGGCUAACUACGUG